AAAGGAAUUGACGGGGACCCGCACAAGCAGUGGAGUAUGUGGUUUAAUUCGACGCAACGCGAAGAACCUUACCGAGGCUUGACAUUGUGCCGAAAGGGUCGGAAACGACUCCCCCCUUUUAGGGCGGCAUAACAGGUGGUGCAUGGUUGUCGUCAGCUCGUGUCGUGAGAUGUUGGGUUAAGUCCCGCAACGAGCGCAACCCUUGUCAUUAGUUGCCAGCAAGAAAGAUGGGCACUCUAAAGAGACUGCCGGUGAUAAAUCGGAGGAAGGUGGGGACGACGUCAAAUCAUCAUGCCCCUUAUGUCUCGGGCUACACACGUACUACAAUGGCUAUUACAGCAGGAAGCGAAGGAGCAAUCCGGAGCGAAUCCCAAAAGAUAGUCCCAGUUCGGAUUGCGGGCUGCAACCCGCCCGCAUGAAGCAGGAAUUGCUAGUAAUUGCAGGUCAGCAUACUGCAGUGAAUACGUUCCCGGGUCUUGUACACACCGCCCGU
Molecule: ribosomal RNA, 493 nt
Filed under: uncultured bacterium
Lineage: Bacteria
Description: bacterial SSU rRNA
Rfam family: Bacterial small subunit ribosomal RNA
Source: RNAcentral